CCUACGGGUGGCAGCAGUGAGGAAUAUUGGUCAAUGGGCGCGAGCCUGAACCAGCCAAGUCGCGUGAGGGAAGACGGUCCUAUGGAUUGUAAACCUCUUUUGUCGGGGAGCAAAAGACGCCCCGCGUGGCGUUCCGAGAGUAACCGAAGAAAAAGCAUCGGCUAACGCCGUGCCAGCAGACGCGGUAAUACGGAGGAUGCGAUCGUUAUCCGGAUUUAUUGGGUUUAAAGGGUGCGCAGGCGGAAUAGCAAGUCAGCGGUAAAAUUGAGAGGCUCAACCCCUUCGAGCCGUUGAAAAUGGUUGUCUUGAGUGGGCGAGAAGUAUGCGGAAUGCGUGGUGUAGCGGUGAAAUGCAUAGAUAUCACGCAGAACUCCGAUUGCGAAGGCAGCAUACCGGCGCUCAACUGACGCUCAUGCACGAAAGUGUGGGUAUCGAACAGGAUUAGAUACCCCUGUAGUC
This 459-nucleotide ribosomal RNA is filed under the name uncultured bacterium. RNAcentral describes it as "partial 16S ribosomal RNA". It matches the Rfam family "Bacterial small subunit ribosomal RNA", at positions 338 to 795 of the family's 1533-position model. The record is from RNAcentral.